GAGAGACCACGUGAUAGCAGCAGCGAGCCGCAGAGCUGCAUUUACGUUUGAGUGCGUUUCAAACCAGCUAGCUAACUGUUGUGAUGCUUGAAGGAUCUUUACAGCACCGUUUUGUGUAACGACUUCACGCCUCUUACACUGUGUCAAAAUGCUGCAGCUCGUGAUUCUGGGGCGAUGACGGGCCGGGGUCAGAUGCGUGAACCAGAAAGGAGAUCCUAUACCACGUUCCCAGCGUGGCAUUCUGGGAAUGACUUGAAUAUAAGCAAGCCGACGAGGAUCCACCCUUAUCCAUGUCCUCGUGGGCAUCCCACCACUGCAGGACGCUUAUGCCAGACACCCAUUCGGAAUCACCACUCGCCCAACAUUUACCUACUGUGGCUAUAUCUAAAUUAGUAUGUACCAGCAAAUGUUUGCAUGAUAUAAUUUAAAAAAAAGUCUGAAAAUCCACUCUUAUCUUUAAAUAAAAAUAUUUGGAUUAACUAGAUGUGUUAAUUUUGGAAAUCUAAUACGUUUAAAUAUAAAUAAGUAAAUAAAUAUAAUUUUUUUAUUAUUUCACAGCCAUAUGAAAAUUUGACAGGUGCUUAUUAAAUCGUUUUAAGUUUUUUUGAGACAAUAACAGUAGCUUCAGCUCUGAUUCAGUU
Molecule: long non-coding RNA, 641 nt
Organism: Puntigrus tetrazona (Sumatra barb)
Lineage: Eukaryota; Metazoa; Chordata; Actinopteri; Cypriniformes; Cyprinidae
Exons: 3
Source: RefSeq, a predicted model, not a curated record